Molecule: ribosomal RNA, 490 nt
Filed under: uncultured bacterium
Lineage: Bacteria
Description: partial 16S ribosomal RNA
Rfam family: Bacterial small subunit ribosomal RNA
Source: RNAcentral
AUUGAACGCUGGCGGCAGGCCUAACACAUGCAAGUCGAACGGUAACAGGAAGCAGCUUGCUGCUUCGCUGACGAGUGGCGGACGGGUGAGUAAUGUCUGGGAAGCUGCCUGAUGGAGGGGGAUAACUACUGGAAACGGUAGCUAAUACCGCAUAAUGUCGCAAGACCAAAGAGGGGGGCCUUCGGGCCUCUUGCCAUCGGAUGUGCCCAGAUGGGAUUAGCUUGUUGGUGGGGUAACGGCUCACCAAGGCGACGAUCCCUAGCUGGUCUGAGAGGAUGACCAGCCACACUGGAACUGAGACACGGUCCAGACUCCUACGGGAGGCAGCAGUGGGGAAUAUUGCACAAUGGGCGCAAGCCUGAUGCAGCCAUGCCGCGUGUAUGAAGAAGGCCUUCGGGUUGUAAAGUACUUUCAGCGGGGAGGAAGGGAGUAAAGUUAAUACCUUUGCUCAUUGACGUUACCCGCAGAAGAAGCACCGGCUAACUCCGUG